RNAcentral lists this ribosomal RNA (161 nucleotides) under Amanita sp. 'glenosomma'. RNAcentral describes it as "5.8S ribosomal RNA". It matches the Rfam family "5.8S ribosomal RNA". Rfam says of the family: 5.8S ribosomal RNA (5.8S rRNA) is a component of the large subunit of the eukaryotic ribosome. It is transcribed by RNA polymerase I as part of the 45S precursor that also contains 18S and 28S rRNA. Lineage: Eukaryota; Fungi; Basidiomycota; Agaricomycetes; Agaricales; Amanitaceae. The record is from RNAcentral.
ACAACUUUCAACAACGGAUCUCUUGGUUCUCGCAUCGAUGAAGAACGCAGCGAAAUGUGAUAAGUAAUGUGAAUUGCAGAAUUCAGUGAAUCAUCGAAUCUUUGAACGCAUCUUGCGCUCCUUGGCAUUCCGAGGAGCAUGCCUGUUUGAGAGUCAUUAAA